RNAcentral lists this small nuclear RNA (107 nucleotides) under Bos grunniens (domestic yak). The record is from RNAcentral. Lineage: Eukaryota; Metazoa; Chordata; Mammalia; Artiodactyla; Bovidae.
GUGCUCGCUUAGGCAGCACAUAUACUAAAAUUGGAAUGAUACAGAGAAUAUUAGCAUGGCCCCUGUGCAAGGAUGACAUGCAAAUUCCUGAAGUGUUCCAUAUUUUU